Long non-coding RNA from Cyprinus carpio (common carp), 588 nucleotides. RefSeq lists it as uncharacterized. The record is from RefSeq and is a predicted model, not a curated record. Lineage: Eukaryota; Metazoa; Chordata; Actinopteri; Cypriniformes; Cyprinidae. The transcript has 3 exons.
GUUGCCAUUGUCUCUCGUUGAGUAUUAUGCCUGUAACCUCUGUUGUCGACUGGAUGUCAAGAUAUGUUUCCAGGCCUUGUGUGUUAGGUCUGUUUGUUGUCUGCCACUGUUCCAUGGCCCAGGUCCGCCAUUGUUCCACUGUCUGCCUCUGCUCCACGGCCCAGGCCCACCACUGUUCUGUGAUUCUGAUCCUGUUCCCCUCCAUGGGCCUGGCCCUCCAUCUCUCCCCCUGUUCAGCCUUCGCUCUACCACCCUCCUGUGCUUGUUGGGUAUUGGGUUUUGUUUGGGUGUCUGGAGCCGCCCUUAGAGGGGGGAUAUGUAACGUGGGUUUUGUUCCUUAUUCAUUGUUUUCUUAUCUUUUAUUUUGAUAUUUUACUUACCUUGUCAUGGUUCCUACCUAUUCUUGUGAUUGUCUUAACCUCAUGUUAUCCUGCUAUUGGUUCUUUGGUUCAUGUGUCAUGUUCUCAUCGGUUGUCUUAGUCAUGUGUCCUGUCUCUCAUUGGUUGGUUCUUGUCAUGUGACCUGUAUUGUUUGCUAUAAAUAGCCCUCAUGUAUUGAUGUUGUAACCUACAGUUGGUGAGUCAAGUC